RNAcentral lists this long non-coding RNA (948 nucleotides) under Mastacembelus armatus (zig-zag eel). RNAcentral describes it as "lncRNA (ENSMAMG00000027636.1)". The record is from RNAcentral. Lineage: Eukaryota; Metazoa; Chordata; Actinopteri; Synbranchiformes; Mastacembelidae.
GUUUAUUCAUUAUAGUUUUCCUCACAUUGCUAAUUGUGGUCUGUAAUAGAGGGGGUGGUAGUUCAGGUCCAAUUUCAGGUAUUGGUUGUUCUCAAUUCAAAAAUUGUUCUUCUGGCCAAUUUUUUGCCUCAACCGAUUUUUUAAAUAAUUAUGAAUUAAAGAAAAUGUUUUUCAAAUUUUUUUAACAGAAAUUUCAGAGGAUCUUGCAGUGCGAUUUAAUGGGAAUGAAUACAUUGAGUAUGUCAUCAAGGAAAGCUUUAAGAGAGACUAUUUGCUGAAACACUUGCAUGAUGAAAAAGAGGGUAACACCAGGGGCCAAACAGUAAUUAAUAUCAGGUUCAAGACUAAAGAUAAUGGAGUGUUGAUAUUUGUUCUCAGACAGAAAGGAUAUUUCAUGCUUAAGGUAGGUGUAAAACAUUUUUAUAGAAAUAUUUACACAUAUUCUAUUCAUGUUUGGAGUGUAAAACUAUUUUUUCUAAUUCAGAUAAAGGACAAAAGGCCUGUGUAUGUUUCCAAAGAUACUCUGUUGGGACACAUGCUAGAGUUUACUGUGGACUCUCCAGUAACAGAUGGGGUUUGGCAUGUCCUCUCCUUGUUCAGCAAUGGACAGAUUGCUUUUCUCCAUCUGGAUGGUAAACCCGUCUUGAAUAUCACUGACCAAAAUAUGGAGCUAAAGCCUGUUACUGUUGAAAGGAUUGUUCUUGGUGCAACUCUGACAGGUGACUCAAAGCUCCAGCAAUCAGGGUUCACUGGAUGUGUGCAUUAUUUUAAUGUGACUGGUUACAAUCUGCUUGUCAGCGAACCCAGCAUAAUGGCAGAUAUCUGGCCGAGCCCAACUCUCAUGCAGUCCAGCUGCAGAUCUCCAGAUGUCUGCUUCCCCUCACCCUGCUCUGAAGAAGACACUUCCAAGAGGGGUUGUCUUUAUGCACCAUGUCAAAACCAGUGGAG